UAGUAACGGCGAGUGAAGAGGGAAAAGCUCAAAUUUUGAAUCUGGUGUCUUUGACUCCCGAGUUGUAAUCUAGAGAAGUGUUUUCCGCGUUGGACCGUGUACAAGUUCCCUGGAACGGGGCGUCAUAGAGGGUGAGAAUCCCGUAUAUGCCACGGACUACCAAUGCUCUGUGAUACACUCUCAACGAGUCGAGUUGAUUGGGAAUGCAGCUCAAAAUGGGUGGUAAAUUCCAUCUAAAGCUAAAUAUUGGCGAGAGACCGAUAGCGAACAAGUACCGUGAGGGAAAGAUGAAAAGCACUUUGGAAAGAGAGUGAAACAGUACGUGAAAUUGUUGAAAGGGAAGCGUUUGAAGUCAGUCACGUCUGUCGGAAUUCAGCCUGGCUUCUGCCUGGUGUACUUUCCGUCCGACGGGUCAGCAUCAAUUUCGACCGAGGGGAAAAGACGUGAGGAAUGUGGCUGUCUUCGGGCAGUGUUAUAGCCUCGGGUUGUAUGUCUCGGUUGGGAUUGUGGAACGCAGCGCGCCUAUUGGCCGGGGGUUCGCGCCCCUCGGUACGCGCUUAGGA
RNAcentral lists this ribosomal RNA (563 nucleotides) under uncultured Sebacinales. RNAcentral describes it as "eukaryotic LSU rRNA". It matches the Rfam family "Eukaryotic large subunit ribosomal RNA", at positions 81 to 612 of the family's 3401-position model. Lineage: Eukaryota; Fungi; Basidiomycota; Agaricomycetes; Sebacinales. The record is from RNAcentral.